RNAcentral lists this ribosomal RNA (445 nucleotides) under uncultured bacterium. RNAcentral's name for it is "partial 16S ribosomal RNA". It matches the Rfam family "Bacterial small subunit ribosomal RNA", at positions 354 to 796 of the family's 1533-position model. The record is from RNAcentral.
GUGAGGAAUAUUGGUCAAUGGGCGGGAGCCUGAACCAGCCAAGUCGCGUGAAGGAAGAAGGAUCUAUGGUUCGUAAACUUCUUUUGCAGGGGAAUAAAGUGCAGGACGUGUCCUGUUUUGUAUGUACCCCGAGAAUAAGGAUUGGCUAACUCCGUGCCAGCAGCCGCGGUAAUACGGAGGAUCCGAGCGUUAUCCGGAUUUAUUGGGGUUAAAGGGUGCGUAGGUGGUUUGAUAAGUCAGCGGUGAAAGUUUGCAGCUUAACUGUAAAAAUGCCGUUGAAACUGUCGGACUUGAGUGUAAAUGAGGUAGGCGGAAUGCGUGGUGUAGCGGUGAAAUGCAUAGAUAUCACGCAGAACUCCGAUUGCGAAGGCAGCUUACUAAGCUACAACUGACACUGAAGCACGAAAGCGUGGGGAUCAAACAGGAUUAGAUACCCCUGUAGUCC